Acanthopagrus latus (yellowfin seabream) is the source of this 555-nucleotide long non-coding RNA. RefSeq lists it as uncharacterized. The transcript is spliced from 3 exons. Lineage: Eukaryota; Metazoa; Chordata; Actinopteri; Spariformes; Sparidae. The record is from RefSeq and is a predicted model, not a curated record.
UGCAGGGAGGGCGGAGGGCCACUGAAAAAGAUGUCCUUGUGUCCUUUGAUACUGACACAGUGAUUGAUUGACAGAGUUGCAGAGAAGAGUGAAUUAAUGAAGAAACUACUUUUGUAAGGGUGCCCUUGCUGCUUUCAGUUGUUCAAGUUCGUAAUCAUUCAGUUUCAUUGCCUUGCUACAUAUUCGUACUUGAGCAUUAUCAGAGGGUCAUUCAACAUUUUCUCAACCAGCUGGGUUGUUCCAGGGAUGUGCCUUUCAUUGGUGUGGACUUUAAAGACACCAAUACUGUCAAUGUACAUUUUUUGAAACAGUCUCAUUCUCACUGUUCUCUUGACCCACCUGGCAUCUCUUUCUCUCACCUUACGGCAUAUUCGGAGUGAAGGGUUGCCUUUCCCUGAUGUGUUCUUUUUCUUUCAUCGUGAGUUUCUUAAACAGCUCUUAUUUUAAUUCUAGAAGAGACAGUAUCGGAUGAAUCUAGUAUAUCUGACCUCACCUCUGCUUUCUGUCUCCCUCUGAGCACCAAGGUCCAUGCAGCCUUUUGUCUCAGCAUAAGAA